AUUGAACGCUGGCGGCAGGCCUAUCACAUGCAAGUCGAACGGUAACAGGAAGCAGCUUGCUGCUUUGCUGACGAGUGGCGGACGGGUGAGUAAUGUCUGGGAAACUGCCCGAUGGAGGGGGAUAACUACUGGAAACGGUAGCUAAUACCGCAUAACGUCGCAAGACCAAAGAGGGGGACCUUAGGGCCUCUUGCCAUCGGAUGUGCCCAGAUGGGAUUAGCUAGUAGGUGGGGUAACGGCUCACCUAGGCGACGAUCCCUAGCUGGUCUGAGAGGAUGACCAGCCACACUGGAACUGAGACACGGUCCAGACUCCUACGGGAGGCAGCAGUGGGGAAUAUUGCACAAUGGGCGCAAGCCUGAUGCAGCCAUGCCGCGUGUAUGAAGAAGGCCUUCGGGUUGUAAAGUACUUUCAGCGGGGAGGAAGGGAGUAAAGUUAAUACCUUUGCUCAUUGACGUUACCCGCAGAAGAAGCACCGGCUAACUCCGUG
Molecule: ribosomal RNA, 490 nt
Filed under: uncultured bacterium
Lineage: Bacteria
Description: partial 16S ribosomal RNA
Rfam family: Bacterial small subunit ribosomal RNA
Source: RNAcentral